Molecule: ribosomal RNA, 460 nt
Filed under: uncultured bacterium
Lineage: Bacteria
Description: partial 16S ribosomal RNA
Rfam family: Bacterial small subunit ribosomal RNA
Source: RNAcentral
CCUACGGGUGGCAGCAGUGAGGAAUAUUGGUCAAUGGGCGCGAGCCUGAACCAGCCAAGUCGCGUGAGGGAUGACGGUCCUACGGAUUGUAAACCUCUUUUGUCGGGGAGCAAGCGUGCGUUCGUGAACGCGCGUCGAGAGUACCCGGAGAAAAAGCAUCGGCUAACUCCGUGCCAGCAGCCGCGGUAAUACGGAGGAUGCGCGCGUUAUCCGGAUUUAUCGGGUUUAAAGGGGGUGUAGGCGGGAUGCCAAGUCAGCGGGAAAAAUGCGGUGCUCAACGCCGUCGGGCCGAUGAAACUGGCGUUCUUGAGUGGGCGAGGAGGAUGCGGAAUGCGUGGUGUAGCGGUGAAAUGCAUAGAUAUUAGGAGGAACACCGGUGGCGAAGGCGGCCUGCUGGACGAUGACUGACGCUGAGGCUCGAAAGCGUGGGGAGCAAACAGGAUUAGAUACCCCUGUAGUC